RNAcentral lists this ribosomal RNA (783 nucleotides) under Azotobacter chroococcum. Its description in RNAcentral is "bacterial SSU rRNA". It matches the Rfam family "Bacterial small subunit ribosomal RNA", at positions 294 to 1072 of the family's 1533-position model. The record is from RNAcentral. Lineage: Bacteria; Pseudomonadati; Pseudomonadota; Gammaproteobacteria; Pseudomonadales; Pseudomonadaceae.
GAGAGGAUGAUCAGUCACACUGGAACUGAGACACGGUCCAGACUCCUACGGGAGGCAGCAGUGGGGAAUAUUGGACAAUGGGCGAAGCCUGAUCCAGCCAUGCCGCGUGUGUGAAGAAGGUCUUCGGAUUGUAAAGCACUUUAAGUCGGGAGGAAGGCUGCAGGCCAAUACCUUGCAGUUUUGACGUUACCGACAGAAUAAGCACCGGCUAACUUCGUGCCAGCAGCCGCGGUAAUACGAAGGGUGCAAGCGUUAAUCGGAAUUACUGGGCGUAAAGCGCGCGUAGGCGGUUCAGCAAGUUGGAUGUGAAAGCCCCGGGCUCAACCUGGGAACUGCAUCCAAAACUACUGGGCUAGAGUACGGUAGAGGGUGGUGGAAUUUCCUGUGUAGCGGUGAAAUGCGUAGAUAUAGGAAGGAACACCAGUGGCGAAGGCGACCACCUGGAUUGAUACUGACGCUGAGGUGCGAAAGCGUGGGGAGCAAACAGGAUUAGAUACCCUGGUAGUCCACGCCGUAAACGAUGUCGACUAGCCGUUGGGCUCCUUGAGAGCUUAGUGGCGCAGCUAACGCAUUAAGUCGACCGCCUGGGGAGUACGGCCGCAAGGUUAAAACUCAAAUGAAUUGACGGGGGCCCGCACAAGCGGGGAGCAUGUGGUUUAAUUCGAAGCAACGCGAAGAACCUUACCUGGCCUUGACAUGCUGAGAACUUUCCAGAGAUGGAUUGGUGCCUUCGGGAACUCAGACACAGGUGCUGCAUGGCUGUCGUCAGCUCGUGUCGUGAGA